Molecule: ribosomal RNA, 788 nt
Filed under: uncultured Bacteroidota bacterium
Lineage: Bacteria; Pseudomonadati; Bacteroidota
Description: bacterial SSU rRNA
Rfam family: Bacterial small subunit ribosomal RNA
Source: RNAcentral
CGGGUGAGUAACGCGUAUCCAACCUUCCCAUAACUAAGGGAUAACCUACCGAAAGGCAGACUAAUACAUUAUGUAAUUCUUAGAUGACAUCAGAAGAGAAUGAAAGAUUUAUCGGUUAUGGAUGGGGAUGCGUCUGAUUAGCUUGUUGGCGGGGUAGCAGCCCACCAAGGCAACGAUCAGUAGGGGUUCUGAGAGGAAGGUCCCCCACAUUGGAACUGAGACACGGUCCAAACUCCUACGGGAGGCAGCAGUGAGGAAUAUUGGUCAAUGGGCGAGAGCCUGAACCAGCCAAGUAGCGUGCAGGAUGACGGCCCUAUGGGUUGUAAACUGCUUUUGUAUGGGGAUAAAGUCAAUCACGUGUGAUUGUUUGCAGGUACCAUACGAAUAAGGACCGGCUAAUUCCGUGCCAGCAGCCGCGGUAAUACGGAAGGUUCGGGCGUUAUCCGGAUUUAUUGGGUUUAAAGGGAGCGUAGGCCGGAGAUUAAGUGUGUUGUGAAAUGUAGACGCUCAACGUCUGACUUGCAGCGCAUACUGGUUUCCUUGAGUACGCACAACGUUGGCGGAAUUCGUCGUGUAGCGGUGAAAUGCUUAGAUAUGACGAAGAACUCCGAUUGCGAAGGCAGCUGACGGGAGCGCCACUGACGCUUAAGCUCGAAGGUGCGGGUAUCGAACAGGAUUAGAUACCCUGGUAGUCCGCACAGUAAACGAUGGAUGCCCGCUGUUGGUACCUAGUAUCAGCGGUAAGCGAAGCAUUAAGCAUCCCACCUGGGGAGUACGCCGGCAACGGU